UGAACUCUGCACUUUUUUUUCAAGCAAACAUGUUUGUCUCAAGGGGACACUCCCUGAGGACAAAACAUAGACCUCAGGCUUCUCUGCAAAGCUCCCAGACUCGGCUGGUCAGAGGAAAGGAGCAGCCGGGAGAGGCGGCCCUAAGGGACCGGGAGGCCAGGAAUGGAAGGAAGCACAUGCCCCUAACGCAGCAGCUGGUGUCACAGCCUGAUGAGAAACAAUGCAAGAUCUGAAAAUCCAUCGAGUUGGCUGGGGACACGCAGCUCAGCCAGGACAAAGACCCACAGCUUCCAUCACAGAUGUCAGUUGCAGCAAUGAGAAACUGAAGUCAGAGAAGGGAAGACAAGGGAUUGGCACACGCAUCCCUCCAAGGUGUGGGCUAGCCUGCUGGGAUAUGAGAGACAUAUGAAGCAGAGUCAAGAGACCCUGACAAUACAGUCGUGGCCAACCAAACUUAUCCUGUAGCUCGCCACCUCCCCAGAUGCGUGAUCAGGCUGAGCUGGUUUCAACAGAGCUGACGAGCUGAGCACCCCGGUCACGAGUAAUAAACAGGCAUUGUCAUAA
Molecule: long non-coding RNA, 564 nt
Organism: Suricata suricatta (meerkat)
Lineage: Eukaryota; Metazoa; Chordata; Mammalia; Carnivora; Herpestidae
Exons: 3
Source: RefSeq, a predicted model, not a curated record